UAAGAUCAGCAUCUCGAGGAAGCCUUGGGAGGGGCCCACUUAGAAGAGCAAGAAGAUCACCUAGCAGAAGUCCAGUUCGGUCUUCUAGAAGAAGCCUGAGCAGGAGUCCCUCUAUAUCACCUAGGAGAUCAGUAAGCAGGAGUCCAGUCCGAUCAUAUAUGAAGAGUGUGAGCAGGAGUCCUAUAAGAUCACCUAGGAGAUCAGUGAGCAGGAGUCCAGUCCGAUCAUCUAGGAAGAGUGUGAGCAGAAGUCCGAUUCGAUCAUCCAGGAGAAGUAUCAGCAGGAGUCCUGUUGGAGGAGAAAGA
This 305-nucleotide long non-coding RNA is filed under the name Brassica rapa (field mustard). RNAcentral describes it as "long non-coding RNA (BRAP_LNC000066)". Lineage: Eukaryota; Viridiplantae; Streptophyta; Magnoliopsida; Brassicales; Brassicaceae. The record is from RNAcentral.